UACGUAGGGCGCAAGCGUUGUCCGGAAUUAUUGGGCGUAAAGAGCUCGUAGGCGGCUUGUCACGUCGGGUGUGAAAGCCCGGGGCUUAACCCCGGGUCUGCAUUCGAUACGGGCGAGCUAGAGUGUGGUAGGGGAGAUCGGAAUUCCUGGUGUAGCGGUGAAAUGCGCAGAUAUCAGGAGGAACACCGGUGGCGAAGGCGGUUCUCUGGGCAGGGCCUGACGCUGAGGAGCGAAAGUGUGGGGAGCGAACAGG
Molecule: ribosomal RNA, 253 nt
Filed under: uncultured bacterium
Lineage: Bacteria
Description: partial 16S ribosomal RNA
Rfam family: Bacterial small subunit ribosomal RNA
Source: RNAcentral